RNAcentral lists this ribosomal RNA (460 nucleotides) under uncultured bacterium. Its description in RNAcentral is "partial 16S ribosomal RNA". It matches the Rfam family "Bacterial small subunit ribosomal RNA", at positions 338 to 795 of the family's 1533-position model. The record is from RNAcentral.
CCUACGGGUGGCAGCAGUGAGGAAUAUUGGUCAAUGGACGCAAGUCUGAACCAGCCAUGUAGCGUGAAGGAUGACGGCUCUAUGAGUUGUAAACUGCUUUUGUACGGGGGUAAACGGAGAUACGUGUAUCUGUUUGAAUGUACCGUAUGAAUAAGGAUCGGCUAACUCCGUGCCAGCAGCCGCGGUAAUACGGAGGAUUCAAGCGUUAUCCGGAUUUAUUGGGUUUAAAGGGAGCGUAGUCGGGCAGAUAAGUUAGAUGUGAAAUCACGAGGCUCAACCUCGGAAUUGCCUCUGAUACUGGUCGGCUAGAGAAUAGGUGCGGUAGGCGGAAUGCGUGGUGUAGCGGUGAAAUGCUUAGAGAUCAGGCAGAACACCGAUUGCGAAGGCAGCUUACCAAGCUGCUACUGACGUUGAGGCACGAAAGCGUGGGGAGCAAACAGGAUUAGAUACCCUUGUAGUC